RNAcentral lists this ribosomal RNA (324 nucleotides) under uncultured bacterium. RNAcentral describes it as "bacterial SSU rRNA". It matches the Rfam family "Bacterial small subunit ribosomal RNA", at positions 29 to 384 of the family's 1533-position model. The record is from RNAcentral.
AGCGAACGCUGGCGGCAGGCUUAACACAUGCAAGUCGAGCGGGCGUAGCAAUACGUCAGCGGCAGACGGGUGAGUAACACGUGGGAACGUACCUUUUGGUUCGGAACAACACAGGGAAACUUGUGCUAAUACCGAAUAAGCCUACGGGAAGAUUAUCGCCGAAAGAUCGGCCCGCGUCUGAUUAGCUUGUUGGUGAGGUAACGGCUCACCAAGGCGACGAUCAGUAGCUGGCUGAGAGGAUGAUCAGCCACACUGGGACUGAGACACGGCCCAGACUCCUACGGGAGGCAGCAGUGGGGAAUAUUGGACAAUGGGGGCGAACCC